Molecule: long non-coding RNA, 216 nt
Filed under: Malus domestica (apple)
Lineage: Eukaryota; Viridiplantae; Streptophyta; Magnoliopsida; Rosales; Rosaceae
Description: long non-coding RNA (MDOM_LNC013016)
Source: RNAcentral
UUCGUUCAUCGUUCUUCCAAGAUCAAGCCCCGACGGCCCUUGAAGAAAGUGUUCUUCAUUCCUCGUUCAUCGUUCUUCCAAGAUCAAGCCCCGACGGCCCUUGGAUCAACAAUCACCAACUCAAGAUCAAGCCCCAACGGCCCUUUGGAUCAACAAUCAUCCACCAAUUCAAGAUCAAGCCCCAAAGCCCCCUUGAAGAACUUCCACCAAUUCAAG